RNAcentral lists this microRNA precursor (128 nucleotides) under Populus trichocarpa (black cottonwood). RNAcentral describes it as "MIR480 microRNA precursor family". It matches the Rfam family "MIR480 microRNA precursor family". Lineage: Eukaryota; Viridiplantae; Streptophyta; Magnoliopsida; Malpighiales; Salicaceae. The record is from Rfam by way of RNAcentral.
AAGUCUGCUUAGAUCAGAUUCUCAUAUGGUAAUGUCAGAUCUUCACUCGAAUACUUAGAACCUUUGAUUUCAACAAGCUCGGUUGCAUCAUAUGGUUCUUUAAUAUGGUAUUAGAGCUUUGAUAAUCA